AUUGAACGCUGGCGGCAUGCCUUACACAUGCAAGUCGAACGGCAGCGGGGGAGAAGCUUGCUUUUCCUGCCGGCGAGUGGCGAACGGGUGAGUAAUACAUCGGAACGUGCCCUGUAGUGGGGGAUAACUAGUCGAAAGAUUAGCUAAUACCGCAUACGACCUGAGGGUGAAAGUGGGGGACCGCAAGGCCUCAUGCUAUAGGAGCGGCCGAUGUCUGAUUAGCUAGUUGGUGGGGUAAAGGCCUACCAUGGCGACGAUCAGUAGCUGGUCUGAGAGGACGAUCAGACACACUGGGACUGAAACGCGGCCCAGACUCCUACGGGAGGCAGCAGUGGGGAAUUUUGGACAAUGGGCGAAGGCCUGAUCCAGCAAUGCCGCGUGUGUGAAGAAGGCGUUCGGGUUGUAAAGCACUUUUGUCCGGAAAGAAAUGGCUCUGGUUAAUACCUGGGGUCGAUGACGGUACCGGAAGAAUAAGUACCGGCUAACUACGUGCCAGCCGCCGCUGUAA
This 508-nucleotide ribosomal RNA is filed under the name uncultured bacterium. Its description in RNAcentral is "partial 16S ribosomal RNA". It matches the Rfam family "Bacterial small subunit ribosomal RNA", at positions 30 to 523 of the family's 1533-position model. The record is from RNAcentral.